This 355-nucleotide unclassified non-coding RNA is filed under the name soil metagenome. RNAcentral describes it as "partial contains 5.8S ribosomal RNA, internal transcribed spacer 2, and large subunit ribosomal RNA". The stretch from base 1 to 120 matches the Rfam family "5.8S ribosomal RNA", at positions 35 to 154 of the family's 154-position model. The record is from RNAcentral.
GAUGAAGAACGUAGCGAAAUGCGAUAAGUAAUGCGAAUUGCAGAAUUCAGUGAAUCAUCGAAUCUUUGAACGCACAUUGCGCCCGCUAGUAUUCUGGCGGGCAUGCCUGUCUGAGCGUCAUUUCAACCCUCGCCCCCGGCUUUUGCUGGGAGCGGUGUUGGGGAUCGGCCGCCCGUCACUGGGAGGCCGGCCCCGAAAUAGAGUGGCGACCACGCCGUGUGCUCCUCUGCGUAGUAGUAAAUCACCUCGCAGGCGGACAGCGGUGCGGCCUGCCGUAAAACCCCCAUCUCUUUCUGGUUGACCUCAGAUCAGGUAGGAAUACCCGCUGAACUUAAGCAUAUCAAUAAGCGGAGGA